CGGAUUGCAGGCUGCAACUCGCCUGCAUGAAGUCGGAAUUGCUAGUAAUCGUAGGUCAGCAUACUACGGUGAAUACGUUCCCGGGCCUUGUACACACCGCCCGUCAAACCAUGAGAGUUGGCAACACCCGAAGUCGGUAGUCUAACCGCAAGGAGGACGCCGCCGAAGGUGGGGUUGAUGAUUAGGGUUAAGUCGUAACAAGGUACC
This 207-nucleotide ribosomal RNA is filed under the name uncultured bacterium. RNAcentral's name for it is "partial 16S ribosomal RNA". It matches the Rfam family "Bacterial small subunit ribosomal RNA", at positions 1294 to 1500 of the family's 1533-position model. The record is from RNAcentral.